This 120-nucleotide small RNA is filed under the name Arabidopsis thaliana (thale cress). RNAcentral describes it as "ATSL043520". Lineage: Eukaryota; Viridiplantae; Streptophyta; Magnoliopsida; Brassicales; Brassicaceae. The record is from RNAcentral.
AAAAGAAAAAGAAAAAAAUACAUUCGAACAUGUCUGGGGUGUGCAACCCCCGCAACAUCAGCUAACAAAAUAGAACUAACAACAUCGGGCCUAGACUCCAACCAAUGCAAACCUAGGGGU